Molecule: ribosomal RNA, 802 nt
Filed under: uncultured beta proteobacterium
Lineage: Bacteria; Pseudomonadati; Pseudomonadota; Betaproteobacteria
Description: bacterial SSU rRNA
Rfam family: Bacterial small subunit ribosomal RNA
Source: RNAcentral
GGGGGAUAACGCAGCGAAAGCUGUGCUAAUACCGCAUACGAUCUAUGGAUAGAAAGCGGGGGACCUUCGGGCCUCGCGCGAUUGGAGCGGCCGAUGUUAGAUUAGGUAGUUGGUGAGGUAAAGGCUCACCAAGCCUACGAUCUAUAGCUGGUCUGAGAGGACGACCAGCCACACUGGAACUGAGACACGGUCCAGACUCCUACGGGAGGCAGCAGUGGGGAAUUUUGGACAAUGGGCGAAAGCCUGAUCCAGCAAUACCGCGUGCAGGAAGAAGGCCUUCGGGUUGUAAACUGCUUUUGUACGGAACGAAACGGUCUAGAUUAAUACUCUGGGCUAAUGACGGCACCGAAAGAAUAAGCACCGGCUAACUACGUGCCAGCAGCCGCGGUAAUACGUAGGGUGCAAGCGUUAAUCGGAAUUACUGGGCGUAAAGCGUGCGCAGGCGGUUUUGUAAGACAGGCGUGAAAUCCCCGGGCUCAACCUGGGAAUUGCGCUUGUGACUGCAAGGCUAGAGUACGGUAGAGGGGGGUAGAAUUCCGCGUGUAGCAAUGAAAUGGGUAUAUAUGCGGAGGAACACCGAUGGCGAAGGCAGCCCUCUGGACCUGUACUGACACUUAUGCACGAAAGGGUGGGGAGCAAAAAGGAAUAGAUACCCUGGUAGUCCACGCCCUAAAACAUAGUCACUGGUUGUUGGGAAAUUUCUUUCCCAAAUACCAAGCUAACCCCUGAAGUUGACCCCCUGGGGAGCACCGCCCCAAGGUUGAAACUCAAAAGAAUUGGCGGGGAACCCCCCAAGCGGGGG